This 458-nucleotide ribosomal RNA is filed under the name uncultured bacterium. Its description in RNAcentral is "partial 16S ribosomal RNA". It matches the Rfam family "Bacterial small subunit ribosomal RNA", at positions 338 to 795 of the family's 1533-position model. The record is from RNAcentral.
CCUACGGGAGGCAGCAGUGAGGAAUAUUGGUCAAUGGGCGAGAGCCUGAACCAGCCAAGUCGCGUGAGGGAGUACUGCCCUAUGGGUUGUAAACCUCUUUUGUCGGGGAGCAAAAGCCGGACGUGUCCGGCUGUGAGAGUACCCGAAGAAAAAGCAUCGGCUAACUCCGUGCCAGCAGCCGCAGUAAUACGGAGGAUGCGAGCGUUAUCCGGAUUUAUUGGGGUUAACGGGUGCGCAGGCGGAUUUUUAAGUCAGCGGUCAAAUCGUGGGGCUCAACCCCAUCCAGCCGUUGAAACUGGGGAUCUAGAGUGUGCGAGAGGUAUGCGGAAUGCGUGGUGUAGCGGUGAAAUGCAUAGAUAUCACGCAGAACCCCGAUUGCGAAGGCAGCAUACCGGUGCACAACUGACGCUCAGGCACGAAAGCGUGGGUAUCGAACAGGAUUAGAUACCCCGGUAGUC